RNAcentral lists this ribosomal RNA (377 nucleotides) under uncultured eukaryote. RNAcentral describes it as "partial 18S ribosomal RNA". It matches the Rfam family "Eukaryotic small subunit ribosomal RNA", at positions 592 to 975 of the family's 1831-position model. The record is from RNAcentral.
CAAUAGCGUAUAUUUAAGUUGUUGCAGUUAAAAGGCUCGUAGUUGGAUUUCGGGUGGGACGCAGCGGUCUCGCAUUGCGUUUGUACUGCUGCAGCCCUCCUUCUUGCCGGGGGCGGCCUCUCGGACUUCACUGUCUGGGGGUCAGAAUCGGCGAUGUUACUUUGAGUAAAUUAGAGUGUUCAAAGCAAGCUUACGCUCUGAAUAUAAUAGCAUGGGAUAACACGACAGGACUCUGGCCUAUCGUGUUGGUCUAUAGGACCAGAGUAAUGAUUAAGAGGGACAGUCGGGGGCAUUCGUAUUCCGUUGUCAGAGGUGAAAUUCUUGGAUUUACGGAAGACGAACAUCUGCGAAAGCAUUUGCCAAGGAUGUUUNCAUUG